UAAACAAUCUUAUUUAUACCUAGAAUAUGGCUGGGCGUUUCUACCUCGUACCGUAAAUGCGAGACAAUAAGGAAAUUCGAUUUU
RNAcentral lists this non-coding RNA (84 nucleotides) under Lactococcus cremoris. RNAcentral describes it as "Purine riboswitch". It matches the Rfam family "Purine riboswitch aptamer", at positions 12 to 99 of the family's 102-position model. Rfam says of the family: Riboswitches are metabolite binding domains within certain messenger RNAs that serve as precision sensors for their corresponding targets. Allosteric rearrangement of mRNA structure is mediated by ligand binding, and this results in modulation of gene expression. A class of riboswitches that selectively recognises guanine and becomes saturated at concentrations as low as 5 nM. Lineage: Bacteria; Bacillati; Bacillota; Bacilli; Lactobacillales; Streptococcaceae. The record is from RNAcentral.